CAUUGCCUUAAGCCUACAGUACUUACCCCGUACCUCUACUGUAAACUUGGAGUGCUUUACAGUACACCUAUAGUCUUACGACCACAGUAACUACAGUAGUCCUACAGUACCAGCCCUGUACAGCAAUCAUAAUACUUUUUAUCCUACAGG
Molecule: non-coding RNA, 150 nt
Organism: Caenorhabditis elegans
Lineage: Eukaryota; Metazoa; Nematoda; Chromadorea; Rhabditida; Rhabditidae
Source: Ensembl